AGUCGAGCGAGGGACUUCGGUCCCUAGCGGCGGACGGGUGAGUAACACGUGGGUAACCUGCCUCAUAGAGGGGGAUAGCCUCCCGAAAGGGAGAUUAAUACCGCAUAUUAUCAUGCUGACGCAUGUCAGAAUGAUGAAAGGAGUAAUCCGCUAUGAGAUGGACCCGCGGCGCAUUAGCUAGUUGGUGAGGUAAAGGCUCACCAAGGCGACGAUGCGUAGCCGACCUGAGAGGGUGAUCGGCCACAUUGGAACUGAGACACGGUCCAGACUCCUACGGGAGGCAGCAGUGGGGAAUAUUGCACAAUGGGCGAAAGCCUGAUGCAGCAACGCCGCGUGAGUGAUGAAGGCCUUCGGGUUGUAAAGCUCUGUCUUUUGGGACGAUAAUGACGGUACCAAAGGAGGAAGCCACGGCUAACUACGUGCCAGCAGCCGCGGUAAUACGUAGGCGGCAAGCGUUGUCCGGAUUUACUGGGCGUAAAGGAUGCGUAGGUGGAUAUUUAAGUGGGAUGUGAAAUACCCGAGCUCAACUUGGGUGCUGCAUUCCAAACUGGAUAUCUAGAGUGCAGGAGAGGUAAGUGGAAUUCCUAGUGUAGCGGUGGAAUGCGUAGAGAUUAGG
Molecule: ribosomal RNA, 616 nt
Filed under: uncultured bacterium
Lineage: Bacteria
Description: bacterial SSU rRNA
Rfam family: Bacterial small subunit ribosomal RNA
Source: RNAcentral